UACGGGGGGGGUAAGCGUUGUUCGGAAUUACUGGGCGUAAAGGGCUCGUAGGCGGCCAACUAAGUCAGACGUGAAAUCCCUCAGCUUAACUGGGGAACUGCGUCUGAUACUGGAUGGCUUGGAUCCGGGAGAGGGAUGCGGAAUUCCAGGUGUAGCGGCGAAAUGCGUAGAUAUCUGGAGGAACACCGGUGGCGAAGGCGGCAUCCUGGACCGGUAUUGACGCUGAGGAGCGAAAGCCAGGGGAGCAAACGGG
This 253-nucleotide ribosomal RNA is filed under the name uncultured bacterium. RNAcentral describes it as "partial 16S ribosomal RNA". It matches the Rfam family "Bacterial small subunit ribosomal RNA", at positions 524 to 776 of the family's 1533-position model. The record is from RNAcentral.